GCUGACACAUCCCUGCCAAUCUCCAGCAGACCCUCCCUCCUAGACCCUCCCACCUCCUGGACAGCAUCCAUGUUGAAGGCAGCUUCAACAUGGAUGCUGUCCAGGAGGUGGGAGGGUCUGGGAGGGAGGGUCUGCCGGAGAUUGGCAGGGAUGUGUCAG
Pelobates cultripes (western spadefoot toad) is the source of this 159-nucleotide non-coding RNA. The record is from the annotation of a GenBank genome assembly. NCBI's taxonomy places the organism in Eukaryota, Metazoa, Chordata, Amphibia, Anura, Pelobatidae.